Molecule: ribosomal RNA, 274 nt
Filed under: uncultured bacterium
Lineage: Bacteria
Description: partial 16S ribosomal RNA
Rfam family: Bacterial small subunit ribosomal RNA
Source: RNAcentral
AUACGGAGGGUGCAAGCGUUACUCGGAAUCACUGGGCGUAAAGCGCAUGCAGGCGGCCUGAUAAGUUAGAAGUGAAAUCCUAUAGCUCAACUAUGGAACUGCUUCUAAAACUGUUAGGCUAGAGUCUGGGAGGGGAAGAUGGAAUUAGUAGUGUAGGGGUAAAAUCCGUAGAGAUUACUAGGAAUACCAAAAGCGAAGGCGAUCUUCUGGAACAGUACUGACGCUGAGAUGCGAAAGCGUGGGGAGCAAACAGGAUUAGAUACCCUAGUAGUCC